Molecule: transfer RNA, 73 nt
Filed under: Planctomycetaceae bacterium
Lineage: Bacteria; Pseudomonadati; Planctomycetota; Planctomycetia; Planctomycetales; Planctomycetaceae
Description: tRNA-Ser
Rfam family: tRNA
About the family: Transfer RNA (tRNA) molecules are approximately 80 nucleotides in length. Their secondary structure includes four short double-helical elements and three loops (D, anti-codon, and T loops).
Source: RNAcentral
CCCCCCGUAGCUCAAUGGAUAGAGCAACCGCCUGCUAAGCGAUAGGUCGCCCGUUCGAGUCGGGCCGGGGGGA